UGGGGGAUCUGCUAAUUGGCAGGCGACUGGACUUUGGAUCCAGAGAUGAAGGUUCGAAUCCUUCUCCCCCAGCCA
Molecule: transfer RNA, 75 nt
Filed under: Candidatus Sungiibacteriota bacterium
Lineage: Bacteria; Candidatus Sungiibacteriota
Description: Candidatus Sungbacteria bacterium tRNA-Gln
Rfam family: tRNA
About the family: Transfer RNA (tRNA) molecules are approximately 80 nucleotides in length.
Source: RNAcentral